Molecule: ribosomal RNA, 515 nt
Filed under: uncultured bacterium
Lineage: Bacteria
Description: partial 16S ribosomal RNA
Rfam family: Bacterial small subunit ribosomal RNA
Source: RNAcentral
GAUGAACGCUGGCGGCGUGCCUAAUACAUGCAAGUCGAGCGAAUGGAUUAAGAGCUUGCUCUUAUGAAGUUAGCGGCGGACGGGUGAGUAACACGUGGGUAACCUGCCCAUAAGACUAGGAUAACUCCGGGAAGCCGGGGCUAAUACCGGAUAACAUUUUGAACCGCAUGGUUCGAAAUUGAAAGGCGGCUUCGGCUGUCACUUAUGGAUGGACCAGCGUCGAAUUAGCUAGUUGGUGAGGGGACGGCUAACCAAGGCAACAAUGCGUAGCCGACCUGAGAGGGUGAUCGGCCACACUGGGACUGAGACACGGCCCAGACUCCUACGGGAGGCAGCAGUAGGGAAUCUUCCGCAAUGGACGAAAGUCUGACGGAGCAACGCCGCGUGAGUGAUGAAGGCUUUCGGGUCGUAAAACUCUGUUGUUAGGGAAGAACAAGUGCUAGUUGAAUAAGCUGGCACCUUGACGGUACCUAACCAGAAAGCCACGGCUAACUACGUGCCAGCCGCCGCGGUAA